UGGUACGCUGCCACUUUAAGAUCAAUUUCAGCUGCUGCAUAUAAGCAGGUCUCUAACUGCCACAAGACUACUUGCGUCAUGACGUCAACUCAUUCUGCUUAGUUUGUUUGCGGAGCUGUGCUGGCCUCCCUUGCUGUGCCUCCAACUCCUGGACCAAUUUGUUCGGUUGUUUGCUGCCGGGAAGCUGCGCUCCAUAGGUGAACUUGUGGAUCUGUUUAUCUGGCCGUGUGGUAAUUUACAGCCUCCUGCCGAGUCCCUGACAACUAUUCUAUUUGGAUGUACACUCGCUGCUGUUUUGCCUACGAUGAAUUGUUUUAAAAGAUUUGUAUGAACUUUCCCCCGCUGCCGGGAGUAUUGAUGGCACUACGAACGGGAUAAAAAGCAAUAUUGUAGUGCUAUUGUAUCACUGUUUUACUCAUAUUGUUUCAUUUUUUUGUCUUUCUUUUAGGGACUGAGGCUUCUGUGGUGGCGGUGUCUUGUGUGUUUUGUUGGAACACCCCUUUUUUGUGUGUGUGUGUGUUUGCCGUGUCUUUGUAGUGUCCAGGGUGAUCCCUUUUCUUCACUGGAUGUUGCCCCUUUCCUCACUACUCUCCCCCCCACUGAUCUUUCUGAUGUCGCCCUGGGCAACCAAACAUAUGACUCAAGUCAAAAACCACAACUGGAUGGAUGGAAAGAUAAAUGGAAGAUGGGAAAACAAAUGAAUGUUUGUUUUUCAUUCCAGCCAGUUGGAAGCUACAAGCUUGUAAUUUCUAAAAUGGUCUGCAAAGUAGAAUAGAAAAUAGAGAAUAAAAAAGAAUGCCUGUU
Long non-coding RNA from Xiphophorus hellerii (green swordtail), 804 nucleotides. RefSeq lists it as uncharacterized. NCBI's taxonomy places the organism in Eukaryota, Metazoa, Chordata, Actinopteri, Cyprinodontiformes, Poeciliidae. The record is from RefSeq and is a predicted model, not a curated record. The transcript is spliced from 2 exons.